This 140-nucleotide ribosomal RNA is filed under the name uncultured bacterium. Its description in RNAcentral is "partial 16S rRNA". It matches the Rfam family "Bacterial small subunit ribosomal RNA", at positions 355 to 511 of the family's 1533-position model. The record is from RNAcentral.
UGGGGAAUUUUCCGCAAUGGGCGAAAGCCUGACGGAGCAAUGCCGCGUGGAGGUGGAAGGCCUACGGGUCGUCAACUUCUUUCUCGGAGAAGAAACAAUGACGGUACCUGAGGAAUAAGCAUCGGCUAACUCUGUCCCAG